UGUUCCUACGGGGGGCAGCAGUGGGGGAUAUUGGACAAUGGGGGGAACCCUGAUCCAGCGACGCCGCGUGAGUGAAGAAGUAUUUCGGUAUGUAAAGCUCUGUCAGCAGGGAAGAAGAAAGUGACGGUACCUGACCAAGAAGCCCCGGCUAACUACGUGCCAGCAGCCGCGGUAAUACGUAGGGGGCAAGCGUUAUCCGGAAUUACUGGGUGUAAAGGGAGCGUAGACGGUAAUGUAAGUCUGGAGUGAAAGGCGGGGGCCCAACCCCCGGACUGCUCUGGAAACUAUGUUACUGGAGUGCAGGG
This 305-nucleotide ribosomal RNA is filed under the name uncultured bacterium. Its description in RNAcentral is "partial 16S ribosomal RNA". It matches the Rfam family "Bacterial small subunit ribosomal RNA", at positions 334 to 653 of the family's 1533-position model. The record is from RNAcentral.